GGAGCGGGGCGGGGUCCCAGGCUCCCUGCGCCUCUCGCGCCCGCAAUGUGCCGGUUCCCGGAGCCCAGGCCCGCACCCCGGGUACUUGAAGGCCUCCAGGCUCCGCCUUCACCACGUGGGCCCUGAGUUCCUCAGCGGCGCCUUCGUGGGCGACACGCGAUUCCUGAGCUUCCACAGCCGCGGCGAGAAUCAGAGAGUGAAGCCGCGGGGGCCGCGGGUGGAGAAGAUGGGACAGGGCUGUGGGCGCCCUGAGGAAAGUUCUCGAAGACCGCAGGGAAUGUGUUACUGAGGGGCCUGAGGGGCCUGAGGUUCCUGGGCCGGCACCACCACCAGGGUCAGCCGGUGAGUGACCUCAGACUCCGGACACAGGUGUCCCCCGCCCCGACCCCAGAGUGAUGGGCCCGGGUCUCCCAGGGAUGGGGGGCGGGGCCUCAGCUGAUCCCUCCCAGGCGGGGAAGCGCUGGGGACAUUUUGCUCCAGGUUUCUCCUUCAAUCUGGAUCAUGACUGACUUGUUCUGUGACCAAUGACAGAGGGAGGAAGGAGCUGGGGUGGGCGGGGAAACCUCCCUCCCCUCCCCGGCCCCGCCUCCGGCUCGCCCUGGGGCAGGUCCAGGGCACCGCACCUGCAGAUGCUGCUGCCUGGCUGGGUGGUGGCUCCGCACAGGAGCUUCCUCGAAGGACACUUUAAGUCCGCCUACGACAAGGAGAUUUCAUGUCCCUGAACGAGAACCUGCAGACCUGGACAGCGGCUCAAAGAGCAGCUUGGAGGAUCCAGCGCACUUGGGAGAGGUUCUGGACCGCGGAGGCCACAAGGGAAACCCCGAUGGGUCACUGCACUAGAUGGCUGCUCAGACACCUGGAGCAUGGCAAGGAGAUGAUGUUGCCGGCAGAAGAUAAAACACCAGGAAACGGAAUCAGCAGAGACACAGUGGAUGAAAGUACCACGAAGGACUGCUAGGUUCUAAUAGAAAGUAGCAGAUAGCCCCGUGGAGAUUCCUGCUGUGCAGCAAAGCCUGGGAGGGGCCCCUGGCUGUGGAAGGCAGGCUGAGACCUCAUAGCCUGCAUGGGCCUGAGAGCAGUGGGAUAUUCACUCAUCUCCUUCCAAUCCCUACUGGUUCCUGACCUCUCUUCUUCCAAUUGGUAAUACCUGCACUCAAGGUUGAACCAUGAGGAGGAGUCUACCCACACCCCAGACCACCGGCACUUCCUCUUCUCUGCCUGCCACUCCCUAGUGGGGCCUCCUGGAUGGUGUGAGAGGAGAGCGACGGAGAUAGCCUUUCUGCUUCAUCAAAACUUGGAAACAAGGCAGAAGACAGAGUCAUCGAGUAAUACAGAAGUGGGGCUGUCAUAUGACCUCAUCGCAGAAGUGACAUCAUUUUUGCCACUUUCUAUUGGUUAGAAGCACGUUUAGGUCCCACCGGUUCUCAGCGGGAUGAGAUGCCAAGAGACAGGAUCACCGGGCAUCAUCUUAGGGUCUCUAUGCACAGGCUGGACUAUGACUGAACAAGAUCAUUACAAACCUGGGUCCUGGAUUGGGCCAGAUGAUCUGCAGAGCUGAGCUGUGUUUAUGAAAUCAAAGCCCUGGAAACAAAAAUCAAGAGAUGCCCACUGGAAA
Molecule: long non-coding RNA, 1615 nt
Organism: Pongo pygmaeus (Bornean orangutan)
Lineage: Eukaryota; Metazoa; Chordata; Mammalia; Primates; Hominidae
Exons: 5
Source: RefSeq, a predicted model, not a curated record